CGAGAAAAGAAACGAGCCCGAAAACUCGAAAGUGAUCAGCUGGGAGUAUUACGUAAUUUGUCGCGAGGACAAGACAGACAUUUCACAUGAGCCAUAAAUAAAAAGGGUGAGAAAACCCUAGAAACCUCAAAACUAUCUCUUCCCCUCUCGGCUGUGUCUCUAUCCUCUCUCCUUCUCACUUUCUCGUCUUCCCUAUGCCACCACCAGAGACACUAGUUCCAGCCACCACCUCUUAUCACCAUCACCACCAAUCGAUCUGGCACACAAAUCUGACCCAAGCCUGAGUCUCAUCAUCGACAUGCAUCGCCUCCGGCCUCCACACGCUUUCCUAAAAGCCAUGACAGCGGUGCUCUCCAGUCUUCAUCGAUUUCCGCCGACUCCUCACCACACCGUCACUAUCAGCGAGCUCAGAGCAAGCAUGUUAUCAAGCCCUGAAGCUCGUCGUUGACCCGACAUAGGAGGACCAGUGUACACGACAUCCCUGAAGCUCACAGCUUUGCGUUUUGUCGUUCUCCAACCUCCAAUUCAAAUUGAUCCAAAUCACCUCCAAGAAUAGAAUCAGCGCCUCUCUUUUUACCAUAUUCCCAUAACCCCGACUAGAGCCGCCGCACGUGCUACACGCGCAGUCGUCGACACUUGGACCACCGUAGGUUCGCCGCUUACAAUCGCUGGAUCUUCAGGCCUUCUCGAUUAGGUAAUUUGUCGUACUCUUCUUUGGUUAAAACCUCCAAUUUUGAUUUGGAUUGAGAAAAUCCUAACCCAUUGUCAUUCAAUUUGGAAUUGAGGUUUUGUGGAGUUUGCAAUUUUGGGAUUUUUGAGAGGAGAAGUUCCUGAGAUAGUUUUGAUUGAAAUCGGGAGAAAGGGAAUCCGAAGGAUUAAUGGUGGUGGAGCACAGCUUGAAGGAUUAAUGGUCGUGGAGCACAGCUUCGAUGAUUUGACUUCUAAUUUGGAAAAGAAGAAUGUAAAUAAGUGGAGUUGCGAAAACGAGAAGAAAUAGUGCAAAAUUAGAACAAAUUGGAGUUUUCGACAAGUAGGCGACCGGUCAAUUGAUCAACCAUGAGUCACCUUCGUCCAACAAAUGAGAGAGAGAAAGAAAUGAAAGCAGGUUUAAUUAAAUUAAUUAAGCAUGGGCUUAAUUGGAGAAUGGAACAAUGGUUUGAUUAGAUAUUAAUUAAACCAAAUUAGUUUGAUUACAAUGGAGCUGCAUGGCUAUAGCUUUAAUUAAGCCAUAAUUAAUCUCAACCUUUUUGUCUUUCUCUCUAUCCCCAGGCAGGCACGUGGGUUGUGCAUGGCAUCUGCCAUCAGACUUAUAUGCUCUCUCUCAAGCCAACCACGUGCCAUUCUACCCACUCAUUGUUGUCCUCUCCUGCAAUCCGACCAUCCAUUUCUAAUCAACCCUUUUUCUCACCCAACAUACAGAGACCAUGACCUAAUUAUCCCUAUAUAUAUAUACACCCCAUCAGACCACUCUCACAAACCUUCUACAGCGCCGCACAACAGCCUUGGGAGGGCUGCUGCCCUUCCACUCCUCCCCUUCCAUUUCUUUUAUUUUCUUUACUUUUUUUGUGGGUAUUUGGAGGAUUUCUCACUCAAGCUUCAAAGAAUCAUCAUCAAGAGCACCACACCUCUAUUUUGGGUAGUUGGGUGAAGAAAUUACUUGGUUCAUACUAGCUCAUAGCUAGAAGUGACCAAUCUAACUCUCCCCUCUCUUCCUUAUUAUCUAU
Long non-coding RNA from Rosa chinensis, 1724 nucleotides. RefSeq lists it as uncharacterized. NCBI's taxonomy places the organism in Eukaryota, Viridiplantae, Streptophyta, Magnoliopsida, Rosales, Rosaceae. The transcript is spliced from 3 exons. The record is from RefSeq and is a predicted model, not a curated record.